Molecule: long non-coding RNA, 1239 nt
Organism: Herpailurus yagouaroundi (jaguarundi)
Lineage: Eukaryota; Metazoa; Chordata; Mammalia; Carnivora; Felidae
Exons: 2
Source: RefSeq, a predicted model, not a curated record
CUGACAAUCACCCUGCCGAGGGAGGCAGGCCUGAGAAGCCGCGAGCUAGGACGCUUGCACCAUACACGGUGCACGGGGUCUACGGGACAGGGGCCGCGCACGUGGAGCAGCGGCAUGAAAGUACACAAAACACAAGCCACGAACGUGCCUGAGGUCGCAGGGAAGAGGGGAGAAAGGCAGAGAAAGAACCAGGCUCAGGAGCAGAGGCUGGAGGUCAGAGGUGGGCUUGGCUCUAAGCACCCCGAAGGCAAGCAAAGCCAAGGUCAGAUCUGGCACAGCAUUCCCGAGCCCCAAAAAGUUCCUUAGCCAACCGUCCGGGAGAAAUGAGACUUUACUGACACAAGACGAAGGCAAAAUUUCUCACACAGAUCCUCUCACGUGUCAGGCUCCUAAGUGUAAGUGAACAGCAUCCCAAAAGGAGGCUCAGGGACAGACUCCGUGUGUCUGUCCCCUCUCCCUCACUGGGAGCCACCGGCAGGAUUCUGAAGCAUGACUCACAGCCAGAAGUUACACAAACUUCAUCCUGUUUAUUUUGGCUCAUGCUUCCCGCCUCCAGAGGUCUCUCUGACCCUGGUGUGCGUUCAAGGAUUUGCUAAGCCCGUGAGCACGCGCUGUCUGCAUGUGUGAUAGGCGCCCACUCCCUCCUUCAGCCAAGUUACUGAAGUUAGAAACGGGAAAAUCACGGGUCGGCAAAGAAACACCGGUGCCGGGUGAGGAAAAGCCAAGGAGCCUGGGUCCAAGGCCUGGCCACCCAGCCACGGGCAUAGCCUCACAUGGGGACCCAGCAUCUCUGCCCGAGGGACAGCUAGGACCGGCACCCGCACCCGACAGGCAGGACCGGCUGCGGCCAGCUGCCACGCGGGGUCCCGGACACAAUGCCUCCACCUACACAGGGCUCGUGGACACAGGACAGGGCAGGCUGUGCUGACGCAGGCGCAUCCUUCCGGAAUGCCAGCGUGGCUGGACGCGUUUGCCCACGACAGCCUGGGACACAGCUCUCAGCCGUGUCAGUGUUGACAACCACGUUGCUUUCAAGACAGGAGCCAUCACAGGAGACCUGUGAGCCGUGGCUGAUGGGCUCUGCUCCUCCACGGCCUGCAUGAGGUGGCCCACGGCCAGCCACGCCCAGAGGAGUGCGCUCGCGGGCUCAGCCACCCUCGGGAGGGGCCAGCUCGCUGGCUCUGCCUUUCUUCCCACCCUACCGUGGACUGACGGUUCCGUAAAACAGUAAAAGACGGU